GAGUGUCCAGCUAGACUACCUAUCGAGGCAACUGGAUCAGCUAUCAUCGAGAUACCAAGGUCGCGGGGUACUCAAAGUAUCAUACGACCCACCAAAGAGCAUUUAU
Ostrinia nubilalis (European corn borer) is the source of this 106-nucleotide long non-coding RNA. RefSeq lists it as uncharacterized. The record is from RefSeq and is a predicted model, not a curated record. Lineage: Eukaryota; Metazoa; Arthropoda; Insecta; Lepidoptera; Crambidae. The transcript is spliced from 4 exons.